GUGAGAGAAGGAGGGGGAUCUUAUAAAAGCAUCAGAUCUUGUAAGAACUCACUAUCACAAGAACAGCAUGGGAGAAACCACUCACCUCCCUCCCUCAGCACGUGGUGAUUAAAACUUGAGAUAAGAUUUGGGUGGAGAUCAGACUUUAGGAUCCACCCCAAUUGCGGCAGUGAUUGGUGACAGUGAAGCUGGAAGCCAGGUCUGGCUCCCGCUCCUGUACCCCUCCCAUUCUGCCACAUGGGAAAUUCUGCCCCACUGCAAGCGUUGCUGUUCUCAGCAACAUGAGUUGAUUGGAGGACUUGUCACAGCAGGGUGCCAUCAUCAUCAUUGCUAAGUAACCAUGACAAGCAAGAGUCACUCCUGCAUAUGACUCAAUAAUGCCUCACAGAUCACAAAGCCCCUUCCCACCCACUGUUUCCUCUGAGCUCACACCACCCUGUAUGAGAUGGGCAGGAGAAUUUCUUUCCUGCCACUCUGCCUAUGGGGACACAGAGAACUUGAAAUGUCAAAUGACUUCUCCAGGGCUCCACAGCUAGGAAGAGGCAGAACCAGGAAGGAAUUGGAGCUCAUGUCUGUAUCUACAUCAUGACUGGCCCAAGACUCCAGCACCCUCAACCACCAAGCUCUCUACCUGGUAUUGGCAAGACAGCCUGCUGCUGGAGAAAUUUCAGAGGUGUCCUCUUGCCUGGGGUCCUCCUUCAGAUGGCCAAGUCAGAAGGACACAGCCCCCCUGCCGGGAAAUCCAGGCCAGGGUUGGAGAGAGGAUUCGUGCAGAUUGGUCUGGAUGGCUGUACAAAUGGACAGGUGAACACCUCACUGGCAACGUGAAAUGGAGCUACAGGAAGCUCAGUGGACAAGAAAACAAAGUACCGAUGGAGAAGUCAGAGUCCACCCAUUCUACCCUUAGUCUCCCAAUGUGUUGCGAUUAUAGGCAUGAGCCAC
This is a long non-coding RNA of Callithrix jacchus (white-tufted-ear marmoset), 942 nucleotides long. The record is from Ensembl. NCBI's taxonomy places the organism in Eukaryota, Metazoa, Chordata, Mammalia, Primates, Cebidae.